RNAcentral lists this ribosomal RNA (480 nucleotides) under uncultured bacterium. RNAcentral's name for it is "partial 16S ribosomal RNA". It matches the Rfam family "Bacterial small subunit ribosomal RNA", at positions 28 to 507 of the family's 1533-position model. The record is from RNAcentral.
GACGAACGUUGGCGGCGUGCUUAAUACAUGCAAGUCAACUGAAGCAGUGGUAGCAAUAUCGCUGUGGAGGUGGCGCACGGGUGAGUAACACGUAGGUAAUCUGCCUUCAGGUCUGGCAUAACUCCGGGAAACCGGGGCUAAUAGCAGAUGAUGCAGCGGCUCGACAUCGAGACAGUUGUUAAAGCUAUGGCGCCUGAAGAUGAGCCUGCGUCUGAUUAGCUAGUUGGCGGGGUAACGGCCCACCAAGGCAACGAUCAGUAGCUGGUCUGAGAGGAUGAUCAGCCACACUGGAACUGAGACACGGUCCAGACUCCUACGGGAGGCAGCAGUAAGGAAUAUUGCUCAAUGGGAGAAAUCCUGAAGCAGCAACGCCGCGUGAGGGACGAAGGGCUUUUGCUUGUAACCUCUGUAGUGAGAGAAAAAAAUCCCAAUCUUUGGGACAUGAUGGUAUCUGAAAAGUAAGCCCCGGCUAACUACGUG